GGGCCCAUAGCUCAGUUGGUUAGAGCAAAUGACUCAUAAUCAUUAGGCCCAAGGUUCAAGUCCUUGUGGGCCCA
This 74-nucleotide transfer RNA is filed under the name Saprospiraceae bacterium. Its description in RNAcentral is "tRNA-Ile". It matches the Rfam family "tRNA". From Rfam's summary of the family: Transfer RNA (tRNA) molecules are approximately 80 nucleotides in length. Their secondary structure includes four short double-helical elements and three loops (D, anti-codon, and T loops). The record is from RNAcentral. Lineage: Bacteria; Pseudomonadati; Bacteroidota; Saprospiria; Saprospirales; Saprospiraceae.